RNAcentral lists this ribosomal RNA (207 nucleotides) under uncultured bacterium. RNAcentral's name for it is "partial 16S ribosomal RNA". It matches the Rfam family "Bacterial small subunit ribosomal RNA", at positions 524 to 721 of the family's 1533-position model. The record is from RNAcentral.
UACGUAGGGGGCAAGCGUUGUCCGGAUUUAUUGGGCGUAAAGAGCGUGUAGGCCGGCCUGAAAGGUCAGCUGUGAAAACUCGAGGCGCAAACCUCGAGACGUCGGUUGAAACCAUCUGGCUAGAGUCCGGAAGAGGAGAGUGGAAUUCCCGGUGGUAGCGGUGAAAUGCGCAGAGUAUCGAGGAGGAACGACCCGCAGUGGCGGAAG